RNAcentral lists this transfer RNA (65 nucleotides) under Acanthaspis cincticrus. RNAcentral describes it as "tRNA-Pro". The record is from RNAcentral. Lineage: Eukaryota; Metazoa; Arthropoda; Insecta; Hemiptera; Reduviidae.
CAGUAAGUAGUUUAAGAAAAAUUUUAAUUUUGGAGAUUAAAGAUGAGUGAUUGACUUUUUACUGA